This 462-nucleotide ribosomal RNA is filed under the name uncultured Tremellales. Its description in RNAcentral is "eukaryotic LSU rRNA". The stretch from base 101 to 254 matches the Rfam family "5.8S ribosomal RNA". Lineage: Eukaryota; Fungi; Basidiomycota; Tremellomycetes; Tremellales. The record is from RNAcentral.
UGAUUGGCUUCGGCCUCAUAUCCUUUCAAACCUGUGCACCUCUUGGCUCCGGCCAAUUCAAACAUGUGUCAUGAAUGUAAAUAUACAAAAACAUAAACAAAACUUUCAACAACGGAUCUCUUGGCUCUCGCAUCGAUGAAGAACGCAGCGAAAUGCGAUAAGUAAUGUGAAUUGCAGAAUUCAGUGAAUCAUCGAAUCUUUGAACGCACCUUGCGCCUUUUGGUAUUCCGAAAGGCAUGCCUGUUUGAGUGUCAUGUAAUCUCAACCCCUCAGGUUUCUGACCUGGGGAGGUUGGACUUGGGUGCUGCCGUUCGGCUCACCUUAAAAGCGUCAGUGGGAUAAGCACCGGUUGGACGCAAUAAGUUUCGUCAAGCCCUGGUGUGAUGCCUGCUCACAACCCCCAUCUUUUAUCUUGACCUCAAAUCAGGUAGGACUACCCGCUAAACUUAAGCAUAUCAAUAA